UACAGAGGUCCCAAGCGUUGUUCGGAUUCAUUGGGCGUAAAGGGUGCGUAGGUGGCGCGCUAAGUCAGGUGUGAAAUUUCGGAGCUUAACCCCGAAACUGCAUUUGAUACUGGCGUGCUUGAGGACUGGAGAGGAGACUGGAAUUCACGGUGUAGCAGUGAAAUGCGUAGAGAUCGUGAGGAAGACCAGUGGCGAAGGCGGGUCUCUGGACAGUUCCUGACACUGAGGCACGAAGGCCAGGGGAGCAAACGGG
This 253-nucleotide ribosomal RNA is filed under the name uncultured bacterium. RNAcentral's name for it is "partial 16S ribosomal RNA". It matches the Rfam family "Bacterial small subunit ribosomal RNA", at positions 524 to 776 of the family's 1533-position model. The record is from RNAcentral.